RNAcentral lists this ribosomal RNA (962 nucleotides) under Salmonella enterica subsp. enterica serovar Enteritidis. RNAcentral describes it as "bacterial SSU rRNA". The record is from RNAcentral. Lineage: Bacteria; Pseudomonadati; Pseudomonadota; Gammaproteobacteria; Enterobacterales; Enterobacteriaceae.
GUUACGGCUCACCAAGGCGACGAUCCCUAGCUGGUCUGAGAGGAUGACCAGCCACACUGGAACUGAGACACGGUCCAGACUCCUACGGGAGCCAGCAGUGGGGAAUAUUGCACAAUGGGCGCAAGCCUGAUGCAGCCAUGCCGCGUGUAUGAAGACGGCCUUCGGGUGGUAAAGUACUUUCAGCGGGGAGGAAGGUGUUGUGGUUAAUAACCGCAAGCAAUUGACGUUACCGGCAGGAGAAGCACCGGGCUAACUCCCGUGCCAGCAGCCGCGGUAAUACGGAGGGUGCAAAGCGUUAAUCGGGAAUUUACUGGGCGUAAAGCGCACGCAGGCGGUCUGUCAAGUCGGAUGUGAAAUCCCCGGGCUCAACCUGGGAACUGCAUUCGAAACUGGCAGGCUUGAGUCUUGUAGAGGGGGGGUAGAAUCCAGGUGUAGCGGUGAAAUGCGUAGAGAUCUGGAGGAAUACCGGUGGCGAAGGCGGCCCCCUGGACAAAGACUGACGCUCAGGUGCGAAAGCGUGGGGAGCAAACAGGAUUAGAUACCCUGGUAGUCCACGCCGUAAACGAUGUCUACUUGGAGGUUGUGCCCUUGAGGCGUGGCUUCCGGAGCUAACGCGUUAAGUAGACCGCCUCGGGCAGUACGGCCGCAAGGUUAAAACUCAAAUGAAUUGACGGGGGGCCCGCACAAGCGGUGGGAGCAUGUGGGUUUAAUUCGAUGCAACGCGAAGAAACCUUACCUGGUUCUUGACAUCCACAGAAGGAAUCCAGAGAUGGGAUUUGGUGCCUUCGGGAACUGUGAGACAGGGUGCCUGCCAUGGCCUGUCGUCAGCUCGUGUUGUGAAAUGUUGGGUUAAGUCCCGCAACGAGGCGCAACCCUUAUCCUGUUGUUGAUUGCRGUUAGGCCGGGAACUCAAAGGAGUCUGCCAGUGAUAAACUGGAGGAAGGUGGGGAAGACGUCAAGUC